GACGAACGCUGGCGGCGGGCCUAACACAUGCAAGUCGAACGCACUAGCAAUAGUGAGUGGCGCACGGGUGCGUAACACGUGGGUAAUCAACCCUUCAGCCUGGGAUAACGACUCGAAAGGGUCGCUAAUACCGGAUACGGCGCGAGAGGCUUCGGCUUCUCACGAGAAAGCCACGCAAGGGGCACUGAAGGACGAGCCUGCGGCCCAUCAGCUAGUUGGUGAGGUAAGAGCUCACCAAGGCUAAGACGGGUAGCUGGUCUGAGAGGAUGAUCAGCCACACUGGGACUGAGACACGGCCCAGACUCCUACGGGAGGCAGCAGUGGGGAAUAUUGGACAAUGGGGGAAACCCUGAUCCAGCAAUGCCGCGUGAAUGAAGAAGGCCUUAGGGUUGUAAAAUUCUUUUGUUCGUGAAGAUAAUGACGGUAGCGGACGAAUAAGCCCUGGCUAACUCUGUGCCAGCAGCCGCGGUAAAGUACAGUGU
This 482-nucleotide ribosomal RNA is filed under the name uncultured bacterium. Its description in RNAcentral is "bacterial SSU rRNA". It matches the Rfam family "Bacterial small subunit ribosomal RNA", at positions 28 to 531 of the family's 1533-position model. The record is from RNAcentral.